AGUUUUAUAUUCAAUAUAUGAUAUUAAAUUGCAAAUUUAAAGUAGUAAGAUUUACUAAAACUU
This 63-nucleotide transfer RNA is filed under the name Phryganea bipunctata. RNAcentral describes it as "tRNA-Cys". The record is from RNAcentral. Lineage: Eukaryota; Metazoa; Arthropoda; Insecta; Trichoptera; Phryganeidae.